This 502-nucleotide ribosomal RNA is filed under the name uncultured Scutellospora. RNAcentral's name for it is "SSU rRNA". It matches the Rfam family "Eukaryotic small subunit ribosomal RNA", at positions 569 to 1074 of the family's 1831-position model. Lineage: Eukaryota; Fungi; Glomeromycota; Glomeromycetes; Diversisporales; Gigasporaceae. The record is from RNAcentral.
AGCAGCCGCGGUAAUUCCAGCUCCAAUAGCGUAUAUUAAAGUUGUUGCAGUUAAAAAAGCUCGUAGUUGAAUUUCGGGGUUCUUCCGUUGGUCAGGCUAACAAGUCUGUACUAGCGUGUAGAAUUCCUACCUUCUGGGGAACCAUCAUGUUAUUAAUUUAGCAUGGUGGGAAACCAGGACCUUUACCUUGAAAAAAUUAGAGUGUUCAAAGCAAGCUUACGUCUGAAUACAUUAGCAUGGAAUAAUAAAAUAGGACGGUGGUCCUGUUUUGUUGGUUUCUGAAUCACCGUAAUGAUUAAUAGGGAUAGUUGGGGGCAUUAGUAUUCAAUUGUCAGAGGUGAAAUUCUUGGAUUUAUUGAAGACUAACUUCUGCGAAAGCAUUUGCCAAGGAUGUUUUCAUUAAUCAAGAACGAAAGUUAGGGGAUCGAAGACGAUCAGAUACCGUCGUAGUCUUAACCAUAAACUAUGCCGACUAGGGAUCGGACGAUGUUAAAUUUUAUUG